GCUAUUGCUUGGAAAAAUCACACACACAUCGUCACGUCUACUGGGUGCCUUCGAAUUUACUCAAAGGUUAGUAUAUGGGAUGUGUGGACGUCAAAC
This 96-nucleotide small RNA is filed under the name Osedax symbiont Rs1. Its description in RNAcentral is "t44 RNA". It matches the Rfam family "t44 RNA". Rfam says of the family: This family consists of a number of bacterial RNA genes of between 135 and 170 bases in length. The t44 gene is found between the map and rpsB genes in all species in the full alignment apart from Shigella flexneri. Lineage: Bacteria; Pseudomonadati; Pseudomonadota; Gammaproteobacteria; Oceanospirillales; Oceanospirillaceae. The record is from Rfam by way of RNAcentral.